GACGCUAGCGGCAGGCUUAACACAUGCAAGUCGAGGGGUAUAUUUCUUCGGAGAUAGAGACCGGCGCACGGGUGCGUAACGCGUAUGCAAUCUACCUUUUACAGAGGGAUAGCCCAGAGAAAUUUGGAUUAAUACCUCAUAGUAUAUCAACUUGGCAUGAAGCCACUAUUAAAGUCACAACGGUAAAAGAUGAGCAUGCGUCCCAUUAGCUAGUUGGUAAGGUAACGGCUUACCAAGGCUACGAUGGGUAGGGGUCCUGAGAGGGAGAUCCCCCACACUGGUACUGAGACACGGACCAGACUCCUACGGGAGGCAGCAGUGAGGAAUAUUGGACAAUGGGCGCAAGCCUGAUCCAGCCAUGCCGCGUGCAGGAUGACGGUCCUAUGGAUUGUAAACUGCUUUUAUACGAGAAGAAACACUGCUACGUGUAGCAGCUUGACGGUAUCGUAAGAAUAAGGAUCGGCUAACUCCGUGCCAGCAGCCGCGGUAAUACGGAGGAUCCAAGCGUUAUCCGGAAUCAUUGGGUUUAAAGGGUCCGUAGGCGGUUUAAUAAGUCAGUGGUGAAAGCCCAUCGCUCAACGGUGGAACGGCCAUUGAUACUGUUAGACUUGAAUUAUUAGGAAGUAACUAGAAUAUGUAGUGUAGCGGUGAAAUGCUUAGAGAUUACAUGGAAUACCAAUUGCGAAGGCAGGUUACUACUAAUUGAUUGACGCUGAUGGACGAAAGCGUGGGUAGCGAACAGGAUUAGAUACCCUGGUAGUCCACGCCGUAAACGAUGGAUACUAGCUGUUGGAAGCAAUUUCAGUGGCUAAGCGAAAGUGAUAAGUAUCCCACCUGGGGGAGUACGUUCGCAAGAAUGAAACUCAAAGGAAUUGACGGGGGCCCGCACAAGCGGUGGAGCAUGGUGGUUUAAUUCGAUGAUACGCGAGGACCUUACCAAGGCUUAAUGUAGAUUGACCGGUUGAAACAGAUCUUUCGCAAGACAUUACAGGUGCUGCAUGCUUGUCGUCAGCUCGUGCGUGAGGUGUCAGGUAGUCCUAUAACGAGCGCAACCCU
RNAcentral lists this ribosomal RNA (1056 nucleotides) under Flavobacterium sp. A78(2011). RNAcentral describes it as "bacterial SSU rRNA". It matches the Rfam family "Bacterial small subunit ribosomal RNA", at positions 32 to 1105 of the family's 1533-position model. Lineage: Bacteria; Pseudomonadati; Bacteroidota; Flavobacteriia; Flavobacteriales; Flavobacteriaceae. The record is from RNAcentral.